AAUAAGAGAGUUUUUAUUAUACAUAAAGGCAAAUGCCCUACUUCAUCUCAAUACCAACCCCACAGACCUAGAACCAUUUUCUAUAAUAAAAAGAAUUGAAAAAUGGGGGUAAUAUAUAAUUGCAUAUGGAACCUAGAUCUGCCUGAACCAUUCAAUUCAUACAGCACUAAACAAAAGUCAAAGUACAUGAAAGUAAUCAGAAUUGGAGAAAUCAAUGUCAAAUCCAACUGGGUAAAACCAGAAAGAUUUUGAUGCUAGAAAUGGCCAAAACAAAAGGCACAAGCUUUCUAAACAGGUAAGUAUUAAGAUGCUCCACUCAAGCUUACCCAAUUAUGCCUACAUAAAUUAAAAAGAACCAUGUUUGAUUUUAUAUGCUUCAUAAGUUAUUUAAUGGAGCUGCCUACUGAUACGGCAUAUCCCUAUCACUUCAACUCUUCAAGAAUGUGGAGGUGGAGGCUGUGGAGCUAAAGCAAUCUGGGAGAGAUCCACAUUGUUUGAGCUCCAUACAGCUAAUAAAUGAAAUGUCACAUCUAGCAAGAGAAUUACUAUACAGCUUGCAAUUGCUUCCUAUAAUGUCAUUAAUGGGUUUAGAUCUUACAGCAACUUUUAGCAUCUCCCUUCAUUUCUCCUCCACCCACAUAAUAAAUAACAACCUACUAUCACUUUUUUCCAGUUCAGAAGAGGUCCAGCAUUGCUUUCUAUUUUCCCAAGUCCUAAUGGUCCUGUACAUAAAAAUAGGCAAGUCCCCCUAGACUUCUUGGUGUUAUUACUGCUGCUGGCUUGAACACGUAUACUUAGAACGAGCU
This is a long non-coding RNA of Argentina anserina (silverweed cinquefoil), 806 nucleotides long. RefSeq lists it as uncharacterized. The transcript is spliced from 2 exons. The record is from RefSeq and is a predicted model, not a curated record. NCBI's taxonomy places the organism in Eukaryota, Viridiplantae, Streptophyta, Magnoliopsida, Rosales, Rosaceae.